This 253-nucleotide ribosomal RNA is filed under the name uncultured bacterium. RNAcentral's name for it is "partial 16S ribosomal RNA". It matches the Rfam family "Bacterial small subunit ribosomal RNA", at positions 524 to 776 of the family's 1533-position model. The record is from RNAcentral.
UACGUAGGCAGCGAGCGUUGUUCGGAGUUACUGGGCGUAAAGCGUGCGUAGGCGGUGUCUUAAGUUUGUUGUGAAAUCUCCCGGCUUAACCGGGAGGGUGCGGCGAAUACUGAGAUGCUGGAGUGCGGGAGAGGUAAGCGGAAUUCCUGGUGUAGCGGUGAAAUGCGUAGAUAUCAGGAGGAACACCGAUGGCGAAGGCAGCCCCCUGGGCCAACACUGACGCUCAGGCACGAAAGCGUGGGGAGCAAACAGG